Molecule: long non-coding RNA, 1634 nt
Organism: Rosa chinensis
Lineage: Eukaryota; Viridiplantae; Streptophyta; Magnoliopsida; Rosales; Rosaceae
Exons: 8
Source: RefSeq, a predicted model, not a curated record
UCUGUUUCAUAGGUCCUUGAUAUGAAAGUUAAUGUCCUUCAUGUUUUUGGUCUUGCUUAUGUGAUUGUCCAUUGUUGUUGUUUCAUUUUGUUUUAAGUUUCUUGCUUGAUUAUGUUCAUAUAAAUGAAAAAUCAGAUUGGAUACGUUUUAUCAUUGCUUUAUGAUUUUGAGAGGUCAGUGUGAAACAUGGUAGGCAGUGGCAAGUGAAGGUGGGAUGGAUGAUGCUAAAAGAAGGCGUAAUGCCUUUGCUCGCUUUUUUUUCUGCUCACUUGGCAUGGUUGAUGGAAGAGCCUGCUGCAUAUGGAAAGUUAGGGUUGGCCAAUCUAUUGGAACUGAGGGAAGAAUGCAUGAGGGAGUUCCAACGUUGAUGCUUAUAGAAGUAUAAAGCAAAGGGAAAACGAGGCAUCACUUGCUGUUUUACCUGAUCUGCUCCUGGAACUUGAUAGUAUGAGUGAGGAAACAAUAACACUUUCCCUUAUUGAAGGUGUUCUAGCUGCAAACUUUUUUGACUGGGGGGGUCCCGUGCCUGUGUGGAUUCUAUCAUAAAGGAACAAUUAUUGAAAUCUACUGAAUGAGUCGUGAUAAGAUGCAAAGACCUUGGCGGGUGGAUGAUUUUGAUGUCUUUCAAAAGAGAAUGUUAGGAUCUGGAGACAAGAAACCUCGCCCACAUGAAAGAGCGUUGCCCUUUGUGGAUAACUCAGGUACUGACAUUGUUCUAGGAAUGCUUCCCCUAGCACAGGAACUUCUCUGCCUGUGGAACAGAGGUUGUUUUGGUUGCCAACUCCCUUCCAGCUCUAAAUGAUGUCACUGCCAUGGAGCUUCCUGAGAUUGUCGCUGAAGCUGCCAAGGUUGGUCUCAAUGCAUACCCAGUUCUAUGUUUCUCUUUCCAUCUUGCAUUUGAGUUCCCAUUCCCAAUGGAAGUAAAAUCUUUCUGCGGGCCCUCAAUGUCAAGCCUUUUGCCUUCUUUCUCUCACUAUUCCUUGUCUAACCGUUUCUGUUCAGUGGUUUAUGUAUUAGAUUUUCAGUUCUUUUACCUACUAUCAAAUCUGAAUUCUAUGCAUAAGUAGUUAGAUCCCUUAGUCAAAUAUUCAAACUAUUUAAUAUUUUUUUAAAUCCAAACACGAUCAAGUCAUUUAACUUUCUCUUUCCUGUACAUAAGUAUAGACAAGAAAGUGAUUUUUCUAGUCAAUAGCAAUGUGACAUUCUUUGGAGAGCUGCUGAAGUGGGAGGCGUCCUUCUGGAUCCAUGGUUAGCAACCUAAAGGAAAUUCAUCUUCGGUUCCAUUAAUGGUUGUGGCAGCCCUUGCAUAGACUUAAUGCAGAUUAUCUUGGAAGGUAUGGGCAGAGCUCUUCAUACCAACUUCAAUGCCAGGUUUAAGUGUGAUGCUUUAAAGCUUGCAAUGGUGAAGCAUCAUAGGAUGGCAGAUAUAUUGAUUAAAAGAAAACAUACGAAUGUGGUUGCAGACACGAACCGGCAAGUUAAAAGCUCCGGUUCAUAAACAAGUUGUAGGGUCUAAUGGAGUAAUGGUCAUGUGUGGGUGCAGUGAGUAGCCAGAGCUUGUAAUAAGGGGGGUCAUGAAAGUUAAGGUUUAUAUUUAAGUGAAAAUUUUUUACUAAAUAAAAAAAAAAAAAAAA